UACGUAGGGUGCGAGCGUUAAUCGGAAUUACUGGGCGUAAAGCGUGCGCAGGCGGUUCUGAAAGUCAGCUGUGAAAGCCCCGGGCUUAACCUGGGAAUGGCGGUUGAAACUACAGGACUAGAAUCUGGCAGAGGGGGGUGGAAUUCCACGUGUAGCAGUGAAAUGCGUAGAGAUGUGGAGGAGCACCGAUGGCGAAGGCAGCCCCCUGGGCUGAGAUUGACGCUCAGGCACGAAAGCGUGGGGAGCAAACAGG
RNAcentral lists this ribosomal RNA (253 nucleotides) under uncultured bacterium. Its description in RNAcentral is "partial 16S ribosomal RNA". It matches the Rfam family "Bacterial small subunit ribosomal RNA", at positions 524 to 776 of the family's 1533-position model. The record is from RNAcentral.